ACUAGUGGAGAGCUGGGCUUCGAGGCGUCAGUGUGAAGGGAAGGCUAAGGACGCAUCGGUGCUGGAGAGUUGAGAAUAUGCCUUCCCCUCCACCCCCAACCCAGUCACCUUAUUUGAAAAAAAAUUAAAAAACACCUUUUAUUUAAAAACCUAACCCUGGAAGUUUGCUCGCUGACAUCAGGGGAGCAACGUGAACACAGGAAAAUGGAAAUCAACAUUUGAAACUUUUAAAUGGAAGCUUUAUUGGGGUUCCACAUAUGGAAAACUGCAAAUAGCAGAAGUAUGUGACUCAAUAAAUUAUUCUGGAGUGACCACAUCCUCUAACUGCCUCCCAGGACAAGACGGAGAAUGUGAACAAUGCUCCUGAAGGCCCCUUUCCCUCAAAGAAUCACUGCAAUUGAAGGAAAAAUGCUCCAUGUCCCCUCUGCCAGUUGGUGUUUAUCAAAGGACAACGGAGGAAGAGAGACAAAGUGCCUGGAUGUGUGUGUUAAUCAAGAGUUGUCAGGACCCUGCCUCUAAAAGAAAGCGCUAAAAUGAUGCUUUUGACAAGACUUUUCUCAAAGUGGAUGCAGUCUAAGGGUUGGAAAACAAGGCCCAAUCAGGCUAGGUCUGACUUGUCGCCUGCUUUUGUAAAUAAAGUUUUAUUGGCUCACAGACACACU
Molecule: long non-coding RNA, 662 nt
Filed under: Homo sapiens (human)
Lineage: Eukaryota; Metazoa; Chordata; Mammalia; Primates; Hominidae
Description: HSALNT0037002
Source: RNAcentral